RNAcentral lists this ribosomal RNA (842 nucleotides) under uncultured Inocybe. RNAcentral's name for it is "eukaryotic LSU rRNA". The stretch from base 262 to 415 matches the Rfam family "5.8S ribosomal RNA". The record is from RNAcentral. Lineage: Eukaryota; Fungi; Basidiomycota; Agaricomycetes; Agaricales; Cortinariaceae.
GCCGAAUGCUAGAUCUCUGAUGGUUGUUGCUGGCCCUGCACCCAUGGGCAUGUGCACACUUGUCAUCUUUAUCUCUCCAACUGUGCACAUCUUGUAGACCUAGAAUUUGUUUGGAAUUUAUUUUUCGAGUUGGGACUGCUGUGCUUUUUCUACAAAGUCAGCUUUGCCUUGCAUUUUCUGGGUCUAUGUCUUUUUCACAAACCUCAGAGUCUGUUUAGAAUGUUGAAUCAGGUCCUUUUGUACCUAUAAAGUUAAUUAUACAACUUUCAGCAACGGAUCUCUUGGCUCUCGCAUCGAUGAAGAACGCAGCGAAAUGCGAUAAGUAAUGUGAAUUGCAGAAUUCAGUGAAUCAUCGAAUCUUUGAACGCAUCUUGCGCUCCCUGGUAUUCCUAGGAGCAUGCCUGUUUGAGUGUCAUUUAAGUUCUCAACCGCAUCAGAUUUGUUUUUGGUGUGGCUUGGAUAUGGGGGUAUUUGUUGCAGGCUUUUGAAAAAUGAAGUCAGCUCCCCUGAAAUGCAUUAGUAGUAUCUGAGCAGAAAAAACUACUAUGGGUGUGAUAAUUUAUCUAUGCCCUUAGUAUUGCUGCAUGAACAGAUUGCGCUGCUUCUAACAAGUGUGUAAUAAUAACCACGUUUGACAAAUUUGACCUCAAAUCAGGUAGGACUACCCGCUGAACUUAAGCAUAUCAAUAAGCGGAGGAAAAGAAACUAACAAGGAUUCCCCUAGUAACUGCGAGUGAAGCGGGACAAGCUCAAAUUUAAAAUCUGGCGGUUGUUAACUGUCCGAGUUGUAAUCUAGAGAAGUGUUACCUGUGCUGGGACCGUGUAAAAGGUCUCUCCUGAAG